AGUGAACGCUGGCGGUAGGCCUAACACAUGCAAGUCGAACGGCAGCACAGUAAGAGCUUGCUCUUACGGGUGGCGAGUGGCGGACGGGUGAGGAAUACAUCGGAAUCUACUUUUUCGUGGGGGAUAACGUAGGGAAACUUACGCUAAUACCGCAUACGACCUACGGGUGAAAGCAGGGGAUCUUCGGACCUUGCGCGAUUGAAUAAGCCGAUGUCGGAUUAGCUAGUUGGCGGGGUAAAGGCCCACCAAGGCGACGAUCCGUAGCUGGUCUGAGAGGAGGACUAGCCACACUGUAACUGAGACACGGUCCAGACUCUUACGGUAGGCAGCAGUGGGGAAUAUUGCACAAAGGGCGAAAGCCUGAUCCAGCCAUACCGCGUGGGUGAAGAAGGCCUUCGGGUUGUAAAGCCCUUUUGUUGUGAAAGAAAAGCAGCAGGUUAAUACCCCGCUGUUCUGACGGUACCCAAAGAAUAAGCACCGGCUAACUUCGUG
Molecule: ribosomal RNA, 492 nt
Filed under: uncultured bacterium
Lineage: Bacteria
Description: partial 16S ribosomal RNA
Rfam family: Bacterial small subunit ribosomal RNA
Source: RNAcentral